UCAUUUUUAUUGGAAAAAAUGUACUUUCCUCUUUCUGUAGGAAUGAAAUUACACUGUGAAGAAACGGAAAAUCCAGAAAAGUUAUUUGGAAAACUAGGCAAAUGAUGAUGGCUCUUCAGGAUGGAUGAACAGAUGAGUGAACACAGGGGCAGCUGUGUAACAACAGAUAAUACAACAUCCCAGCUUCCUUGCAUGAAGUCCCAAUACAACACCCCAACCUCCUAUGGAGUCUCAAUACAACACCCCAGCUUCCUUCCAUUCCAGCUUCCCUCUGUGGAGUCCCAAGCACCAAAGAAGCAACAUUUUGUUACAAUUUCUGUUCUGAUUGUUUGAGGAAAGAAAAAUUUCAUUCUAGAUCCUAAUGUUUUUUUAAAGAAAUUCUUCUGUAAUAAUAACUUCCUUCCUAGACCUGAAAACCAAUUCCUAGAAAGCAGCGAAUCCCACUCAUUUUAUUCACUAAGACUUCCCUAUUGGAAGCCAGAAUUAAAAAAAGACAAACCUCAUGUACUUGGAAGUUGUGAGUCUAUCAAAUAUGACUGAAUGAUUGGACCCUAGAGUUAGGAAGUGAUUUUCAAAGCAUAUCAUUCCUCAUAAACAGUCCCCCAAAUUUUGCUUCAGUGCAUCCAAUGAUUAGAAAUGUAUUAUCUUAUAAGUUAGUAGCCCUCUUUUUUAAAAAGGAAAGUACUAUAUGUAUUUAGAAAAAUAAAAUUACACUUUCAAAUUACAAGCAUUCAGAGUGGUGGGGAUGUGCAAACGGACAUCUUAGCUUUCUCCUCCACAUACUCUGGCCUAUAGGUAACCAUGAUUAUUCUCUCCUUCACCUUUCCCCCUCUUGUUUUUUUUUCUUCUGUCUGGGAUUUUUUUGUAUAACCUUACAUAGUUCCAUAUAAUUUCAGUUUUACACAAUGGAAUUAGACUGUACAUACCAA
Mesocricetus auratus (golden hamster) is the source of this 929-nucleotide long non-coding RNA. RefSeq lists it as uncharacterized. Lineage: Eukaryota; Metazoa; Chordata; Mammalia; Rodentia; Cricetidae. The transcript has 2 exons. The record is from RefSeq and is a predicted model, not a curated record.